UGAUGAUUUUUGUGGGCGAGUUUGCUUCUGGUUUCAUGUUGCCGAGUAACCAUGACUAGAUCCAUACUCGUCUGCAGCCAUCAACU
This is a non-coding RNA of Manduca sexta (tobacco hornworm), 86 nucleotides long. NCBI's taxonomy places the organism in Eukaryota, Metazoa, Arthropoda, Insecta, Lepidoptera, Sphingidae. The record is from Rfam.